Molecule: non-coding RNA, 259 nt
Organism: Epinephelus lanceolatus (giant grouper)
Lineage: Eukaryota; Metazoa; Chordata; Actinopteri; Perciformes; Serranidae
Source: RefSeq, a predicted model, not a curated record
UCUGAUGUCCCUGUGGUGGUGGCUGCAGCGCUGCGGGCAGAAGCUUUGUUUGGCAUGGUCACCAUUGUGGCACACCUUCGGCUCUCUCCUCACCCAUACAGUGUGGCUGUGACUGGUUGGUGCUGGGGGAGACGGAUCGCCCCGGUCGGAGCUCCUAGGGUGUGGUUCGGUCCACGUGGUGCUGUGGGUGCAGGGCAGCAGUCCAGUCCCCUGGUGGUGUUUCUCACAAUUCCUUUUUCAUUGGUGUGCAGUGUCACAG